Molecule: transfer RNA, 85 nt
Filed under: Methylobacillus flagellatus
Lineage: Bacteria; Pseudomonadati; Pseudomonadota; Betaproteobacteria; Nitrosomonadales; Methylophilaceae
Also listed under: 31 other names
Description: tRNA-Leu
Rfam family: tRNA
About the family: Transfer RNA (tRNA) molecules are approximately 80 nucleotides in length. Their secondary structure includes four short double-helical elements and three loops (D, anti-codon, and T loops). Further hydrogen bonds mediate the characteristic L-shaped molecular structure. tRNAs have two regions of fundamental functional importance: the anti-codon, which is responsible for specific mRNA codon recognition, and the 3' end, to which the tRNAs corresponding amino acid is attached (by aminoacyl-tRNA synthetases). tRNAs cope with the degeneracy of the genetic code in two manners: having more than one tRNA (with a specific anti-codon) for a particular amino acid; and 'wobble' base-pairing, i.e. permitting non-standard base-pairing at the 3rd anti-codon position.
Source: RNAcentral
GCGAAAGUGGCGGAAUUGGUAGACGCACUGGAUUUAGGUUCCAGCGCCGCGAGGCGUGAGAGUUCGAGUCUCUCCUUUCGCACCA